GAACUGCAUUCGAAACUGGCAGGCUUGAGUCUUGUAGAGGGGGGUAGAAUUCCAGGUGUAGCGGUGAAAUGCGUAGAGAUCUGGAGGAAUACCGGUGGCGAAGGCGGCCCCCUGGACAAAGACUGACGCUCAGGUGCGAAAGCGUGGGGAGCAAACAGGAUUAGAUACCCUGGUAGUCCACGCCGUAAACGAUGUCUACUUGGAGGUUGUGCCCUUGAGGCGUGGCUUCCGGAGCUAACGCGUUAAGUAGACCGCCUGGGGAGUACGGCCGCAAGGUUAAAACUCAAAUGAAUUGACGGGGGCCCGCACAAGCGGUGGAGCAUGUGGUUUAAUUCGAUGCAACGCGAAGAACCUUACCUGGUCUUGACAUCCACAGAACUUUCCAGAGAUGGAUUGGUGCCUUCGGGAACUGUGAGACAGGUGCUGCAUGGCUGUCGUCAGCUCGUGUUGUGAAAUGUUGGGUUAAGUCCCGCAACGAGCGCAACCCUUAUCCUUUGUUGCCAGCGAUUA
RNAcentral lists this ribosomal RNA (510 nucleotides) under Salmonella enterica. RNAcentral describes it as "bacterial SSU rRNA". It matches the Rfam family "Bacterial small subunit ribosomal RNA", at positions 618 to 1127 of the family's 1533-position model. The record is from RNAcentral. Lineage: Bacteria; Pseudomonadati; Pseudomonadota; Gammaproteobacteria; Enterobacterales; Enterobacteriaceae.